This 745-nucleotide long non-coding RNA is filed under the name Daphnia pulex (common water flea). RNAcentral's name for it is "uncharacterized LOC124190885, transcript variant X2". The record is from RNAcentral. Lineage: Eukaryota; Metazoa; Arthropoda; Branchiopoda; Diplostraca; Daphniidae.
GUGAAUUUAGUUAUUUGUGUGGUAAUAAGUCUAAUAACCUAGCCUACUAAUUUCUACUUGGGAAUUUCAGCUGAUCAUGUGGCCUACAUUUUGCCAAGAUGUCGUCUCUUUUUCCUGUACGUACCGGCUGUACGUUUUGUAAGAAACACUUCAGAACAAAUCAGACAGUCUGGUAAAGUCUGAGCUUCGUCGUUGCUGCCCAAUUAUGGAUUUGGUGCAGCCAGCUGGUAAAGGGUGUUCCUCUUGCUACCUGUACUCUUGUGUGUUUCGUCAAAUGAAGAAACAUGAACAACUGAAGUUUAUCGUGUAUGUUCGCGUAGUUGCUGUCCGCUGUGGUACUUUGUUGCAGCCUAUGCUGGUGAUAGAUCUUUCUGCAUCAAAUUCAAUUGGCCGUGCUGUUGUCGUGUAACCGUUAAAUGUUAAGAAGGAAAAAAAAAAUAUGGGGAUAGUUAUGUCUAGCAAGUAAUAAACAUGUUUUCGGGAUUGGGAAAGGAAAGUGGAAGAUGUUGGAGAGGGGGAUGUUUCAAGUUUGGAUAAAAACAGUUAAUUUUAAGUUUUAACCCUACAAACAUAUCCCUACCAACUAAUCUCCAAACCCCACAAACUUAUACCUUCCAACUCUUCACACACAAACACACCUACCAACCCUAAAUUUAUAUCAUAUCCAAAUUAACCAAUGUUAAACCCUAACAAUGUGAUGUCUGUAAUAAAUAAAACUUUGUAUACAUAAAACUGAUUUUUAUUA